RNAcentral lists this ribosomal RNA (468 nucleotides) under uncultured bacterium. RNAcentral describes it as "partial 16S ribosomal RNA". It matches the Rfam family "Bacterial small subunit ribosomal RNA", at positions 28 to 507 of the family's 1533-position model. The record is from RNAcentral.
GACGAACGCUGGCGGCGUGCUUAACACAUGCAAGUCGAACGGAAAGGCCCUGCUUUUGUGGGGUGCUCGAGUGGCGAACGGGUGAGUAACACGUGAGUAACCUGCCCUUGACUUUGGGAUAACUUCAGGAAACUGGAGCUAAUACCGGAUAGGAGCUCCUGCUGCAUGGUGGGGGUUGGAAAGUUUCGGCGGUUGGGGAUGGACUCGCGGCUUAUCAGCUUGUUGGUGGGGUAGUGGCUUACCAAGGCUUUGACGGGUAGCCGGCCUGAGAGGGUGACCGGCCACAUUGGGACUGAGAUACGGCCCAGACCCCUACGGGAGGCAGCAGUGGGGAAUAUUGCACAAUGGGCGGAAGCCUGAUGCAGCAACGCCGCGUGCGGGAUGACGGCCUUCGGGUUGUAAACCGCUUUCGCCUGUGACGAAGCGUGAGUGACGGUAAUGGGUAAAGAAGCACCGGCUAACUACGUG